CGUUGUCCGGAAUCACUGGGCGUAAAGGGCGCGUAGGUGGCUUGCCAAGCGUGUGGUGAAAGCCCGGAGCUCAACUCCGGGUCUGCCAUGCGAACUGGCAGGCUUGAGCACGGUAGAGGCCAAUGGAAUUCCGGGUGUAGCGGUGGAAUGCGUAGAGAUCCGGAAGAACACCGGUGGCGAAGGCGGUUGGCUGGGCCGUAGCUGACACUGAGGCGCGACAGCGUGGGGAGCAAACAGGAUUAGAUACCCUGGUAGUCCACGCCGUAAACGAUGGGCACUAGGUCCUUGGGGGAGCGACCCCGUGAGGGCCGGCGCUAACGCAUUAAGUGCCCCGCCUGGGGAGUACGGCCGCAAGGCUG
This 359-nucleotide ribosomal RNA is filed under the name uncultured bacterium. RNAcentral describes it as "bacterial SSU rRNA". It matches the Rfam family "Bacterial small subunit ribosomal RNA", at positions 539 to 896 of the family's 1533-position model. The record is from RNAcentral.